AUUCCAGCUCCAGUAGCGUAUAUUAAAGUUGUUGCAGUUAAAAAGCUCGUAGUUGGAUUUCUGAUAGUGGCGUUGGGCCCGCCCGGGUUACCGGUGUGAGUGCCUGUUCGCCCCUUUCAUCCUUCUAGAGAACGGUCCUCUCCUUCAUUGGUAGUGGGAUCGCAAUCUAGAUCUUUUACUUUGAAAAAAUUAGAGUGUUUAAAGCAGGCUUGUGCUAUGAAUACAUUAGCAUGGAAUAAUAAUUUAGGACUUUAGUUCUAUUUUGUUGGUUUCUAGAACUGAAGUAAUGAUUGAUAGGGAUAGUUGGGGGUGCUAGUAUUCAGCGGCCAGAGGUGAAAUUCUUGGAUUCGCUGAAGACUAACUUAUGCGAAAGCAUUCACCAAGGAUGUCUUCAUUA
This 397-nucleotide ribosomal RNA is filed under the name Reckertia sp. RNAcentral's name for it is "partial small subunit ribosomal RNA". It matches the Rfam family "Eukaryotic small subunit ribosomal RNA", at positions 582 to 975 of the family's 1831-position model. The record is from RNAcentral. Lineage: Eukaryota; Cercozoa; Imbricatea; Thaumatomonadida; Thaumatomastigidae.